UGGGGAAUAUUGCACAAUGGGCGCAAGCCUGAUGCAGCCAUGCCGCGUGUAUGAAGAAGGCCUUCGGGUUGUAAAGUACUUUCAGUCGGGAGGAAGGUGGUAAGGUUAAUAACCUUGGCGAUUGACGUUACCCGCAGAAGAAGCACCGGCUAACUCCGUGCCAGCAGCCGCGGUAAUACGGAGGGUGCAAGCGUUAAUCGGAAUUACUGGGCGUAAAGCGCACGCAGGCGGUUGAUUGAGUCAGAUGUGAAAUCCCCGGGCUUAACCCGGGAAUUGCAUCUGAUACUGGUCAGCUAGAGUCUUGUAGAGGGGGGUAGAAUUCCAUGUGUAGCGGUGAAAUGCGUAGAGAUGUGGAGGAAUACCGGUGGCGAAGGCGGCCCCCUGGACAAAGACUGACGCUCAGGUGCGAAAGCGUGGGGAGCAAACAGG
This 429-nucleotide ribosomal RNA is filed under the name Chloroflexota bacterium. RNAcentral's name for it is "Chloroflexi bacterium partial 16S ribosomal RNA". It matches the Rfam family "Bacterial small subunit ribosomal RNA", at positions 355 to 776 of the family's 1533-position model. The record is from RNAcentral. Lineage: Bacteria; Bacillati; Chloroflexota.